GCGGAAGGAUCAUUAUCGAACACACGAAGGGAACUGUCGCUGGCUUCGGCAUGUGCACGUUCUUUUCUCUCACUCACACUUGUGCACCAUCUGUAGGCCCUYGAAAGAGGAYCUAUGUUUUCCAUUCACACCGAUCGCAUGUCCAUAGAAUGUCAUAAUGAAAUACAACUUUCAGCAACGGAUCUCUUGGCUCUCGCAUCGAUGAAGAACGCAGCGAAUUGCGAUAAGUAAUGUGAAUUGCAGAUUUCCAGUGAAUCAUCGAAUCUUUGAACGCACCUUGCGCUCCUUGGCAUUCCGAGGAGCAUGCCUGUUUGAGUGUCAUUGAAUUCUCAACCAUGUCUUGGAGACAUUACAUGGCUUGGAUGUUGGGGGGUUUGCUGGCAUUCCCAAGAUUGUCAGCUCUCCUGAAAUGCAUUAGCAAAAUGGCAGACAUACACGGCCUUCCGACGUGAUAAUGAUCGUCGUGGCUGGAGUGUCAGACGCCCAUGUUGCUUCCAAUCGAGCGUGUUUAGCUACUAGUCGGUCGUGAGGCUGGCGAACGCGGCACGACGUUGACAACUGACCUCAAA
This 569-nucleotide ribosomal RNA is filed under the name Tylopilus appalachiensis. RNAcentral's name for it is "eukaryotic LSU rRNA". The stretch from base 167 to 321 matches the Rfam family "5.8S ribosomal RNA". Lineage: Eukaryota; Fungi; Basidiomycota; Agaricomycetes; Boletales; Boletaceae. The record is from RNAcentral.